AGCUCCAAUAGCGUAUAUUAAAGUUGUUGCAGUUAAAAGCUCGUAGUUGGAUUUCUGGCGUGAGGUGCUUGACCCGCCGCGGUUACGCGUGUGAGUGUCGGUGUGCCUCGGCCAUCCUUCUAGAAACUGGCUCUGCCCUUCAUUGGGUUGGGGUCAGGAUCUGGAUCUUUUACUUUGAAAAAUUAGAGUGUUUAAAGCAAGCUUUGCGUGAAUACAUUAGCAUGGAAUAAUAACUUAGGACUUUCGGUUCUAUUUUGUUGGUUUCUAGGACUGAAGUAAUGAUUGAUAGGGAUAGUUGGGGUGCUAGUAUUCAGCGGCCAGAGGUGAAAUUCUUGGAUUCGCUGAAGACUAACUUAUGCGAAAGCAUUCACCAAGGAUGUCUUC
RNAcentral lists this ribosomal RNA (384 nucleotides) under uncultured eukaryote. Its description in RNAcentral is "SSU rRNA". It matches the Rfam family "Eukaryotic small subunit ribosomal RNA", at positions 587 to 971 of the family's 1831-position model. The record is from RNAcentral.